UACGGAGGGAGCUAGCGUUGUUCGGAAUUACUGGGCGUAAAGCGCACGUAGGCGGCUUUGUAAGUUAGAGGUGAAAGCCCGGGGCUCAACCCCGGAACAGCCUUUAAGACUGCAUCGCUAGAAUCCGGGAGAGGUGAGUGGAAUUCCGAGUGUAGAGGUGAAAUUCGUAGAUAUUCGGAAGAACACCAGUGGCGAAGGCGGCUCACUGGACAGGCAUUGACGCUGAGGUGCGAAAGCGUGGGGAGCAAACAGG
This 253-nucleotide ribosomal RNA is filed under the name uncultured bacterium. RNAcentral describes it as "partial 16S ribosomal RNA". It matches the Rfam family "Bacterial small subunit ribosomal RNA", at positions 524 to 776 of the family's 1533-position model. The record is from RNAcentral.